This 649-nucleotide long non-coding RNA is filed under the name Vigna radiata. Its description in RNAcentral is "long non-coding RNA (VRAD_LNC008410)". The record is from RNAcentral. Lineage: Eukaryota; Viridiplantae; Streptophyta; Magnoliopsida; Fabales; Fabaceae.
ACUAGUUCACAAUGUCUUGUAUCCCUAGCAACUAAUCAUGCAUUAUGUGACACCCGGGCACUGACGAAGGCGGGGAGUGAUCGCCGGUGCAAGAAGCAUGGUGCAGGGGGCACGGACAAGGAGCGGCUCCUGGCAGGCUUCGAGUGGAAGNGGCACAUGGACGAAUCGAACAUACACCGGAAUGAGAGGGAUCUGGAGAUUUUAUAGGUAUGGGACUAUACAGUUGAAGGAUAGCUUAAAGGAAUUGAUUUGACUACUCAUAUCAACAAAUGCAUUUGCUUUUCGGUAGCCUAACUCAUAAGAACUCCAUGGUUAAGUGUGCUUAGCCUAGAGUAAUUAUGGGAUGGGUGACCUUCCGGGAAGUUUUCUCGGAAAGUGUGUGAGUGAGGACAAAGCACACUAGAAAGCCUCGUGUUGAUGUGUGGGGGCAGUCAGCAGUCCCUGUAAGUUGUCGGGGCGUUACACAUUACAUUCGCAAAAAUCAAAGAUCAUGCAAUUGAAUGAGUUAAACAAAGCAUGCAUAGAGUUUAGAGAAAAAACCCUAACAAUUAAUGAAGUAAAGCAUAUAUAUCAAGAAUCAAUUCAAUACAUGAGAGUUUCAAAGGAUUACAUUGUUUUUCCAACAACAAUGUGUUGGCAAACAGGUAGA